UCUUCUUCUUCUUCUCCGCCCCCCCCCCCUCCGCUCUUCCUCACGAGCACCUAGUUAGAAAGAGGAAGGAGGCGGGCUGCCGGUGCGGGGCUGGAGCUGUGAGCUCGCUCUCGCCGGGACGCGGAGCAAAAGGAGGAGGAACGUGGAGGGGCGCGCGGGAGGCUGGGGCGAAGCGCCGGCUGCUGCUGCUGCUGCUGCUCCCGCGGCCGCCAGCCUCUUCUCCUGGCUUCUCUGGACGUGGACGAGUUGUUGUUGUCACACGGUACAGGGAAAGGGGCGGAGCUCCGGCAACUUGAAAUGCCCCUUUGAAGCGCGCCCCAGCCUCUCCCGCACCCGCGCGGCGGCGGGCAUUAGCCUCAAUUAUCCAACCAGGAAGCCAAGAGCCAAAGGGAGAGGGAAAGCGGAGAUGCGCGGGGAGAUCUCUCCUCCUCCUCCUCUCCAGAAACCGUUAGAUUGCAUGUUUCACGUUUCAUCCCAUCAGAGGGGGUUGGACUAGAUGACCCAAGGAGCCCCCUCCAACUGCACAAUGCUGCGAUCCUGUGCGCUGCGUUUGGAGAGCCUGACUCUGCGGAGGCGGCAGCCGCUGGGCUUCGAACUUCUAACACGGCGGUGGUGAACCAAGCCCCGCCUUCCCCUUCUAUAAAUACACCGAGGCUUCUCGUCGCUGACAGGACGACUAGAUAACACGCUUAAUACAAAUACAAAAGGGCUGGUUGCCAUUCAAGGCACGGCGGCUCUCUAA
Podarcis muralis (Common wall lizard) is the source of this 742-nucleotide long non-coding RNA. RefSeq lists it as uncharacterized. The record is from RefSeq and is a predicted model, not a curated record. NCBI's taxonomy places the organism in Eukaryota, Metazoa, Chordata, Lepidosauria, Squamata, Lacertidae.